RNAcentral lists this ribosomal RNA (270 nucleotides) under Enterococcus faecalis. RNAcentral describes it as "partial 16S rRNA". It matches the Rfam family "Bacterial small subunit ribosomal RNA", at positions 39 to 287 of the family's 1533-position model. Lineage: Bacteria; Bacillati; Bacillota; Bacilli; Lactobacillales; Enterococcaceae. The record is from RNAcentral.
GCGGCGUGCCUAAUACAUGCAAGUCGAACGCUUCUUUCCUCCCGAGUGCUUGCACUCAAUUGGAAAGAGGAGUGGCGGACGGGUGAGUAACACGUGGGUAACCUACCCAUCAGAGGGGGAUAACACUUGGAAACAGGUGCUAAUACCGCAUAACAGUUUAUGCCGCAUGGCAUAAGAGUGAAAGGCGCUUUCGGGUGUCGCUGAUGGAUGGACCCGCGGUGCAUUAGCUAGUUGGUGAGGUAACGGCUCACCAAGGCCACGAUGCAUAGC